This 497-nucleotide ribosomal RNA is filed under the name uncultured bacterium. RNAcentral describes it as "partial 16S ribosomal RNA". It matches the Rfam family "Bacterial small subunit ribosomal RNA", at positions 28 to 507 of the family's 1533-position model. The record is from RNAcentral.
GAUGAACGCUGGCGGCGUGCCUAAUACAUGCAAGUCGAGCGAACGGACGAGAAGCUUGCUUUUCUGAUGUUAGCGGCGGACGGGUGAGUAACACGUGGAUAACCUACCUAUAAGACUGGGAUAACUUCGGGAAACCGGAGCUAAUACCGGAUAAUAUUUUGAACCGCAUGGUUCAAAAGUGAAAGACGGUCUUGCUGUCACUUAUAGAUGGAUCCGCGCUGCAUUAGCUAGUUGGUAAGGUAACGGCUUACCAAGGCAACGAUGCAUAGCCGACCUGAGAGGGUGAUCGGCCACACUGGAACUGAGACACGGUCCAGACUCCUACGGGAGGCAGCAGUAGGGAAUGUUCCGCAAUGGGCGAAAGCCUGACGGAGCAACGCCGCGUGAGUGAUGAAGGUCUUCGGAUCGUAAAACUCUGUUAUUAGGGAAGAACAUAUGUGUAAGUAACUGUGCACAUCUUGACGGUACCUAAUCAGAAAGCCACGGCUAACUACGUG